CUUUUCGUUGGGUGUUCGUGGGAAUCGGUUCUUGGGGGUGCGAAGCACAGAAUCGGCUCUGAUUGCAGAAAUCCCUGCAGGACUCCUCGAGAAGCCCAAGAAAUGCCGUAGCCCCUUAUUUCUACGAACUGGUGCUUUCCUCCACAAUCCAAGACAAGAGGCUGGGUUUGCUAGGGAUUUUCAACACCGAUCAGCAACUUAGUGACCUGGAAUAACAGAACAUUCAAUCUUUUUCCACCAAAAUCUGGUGAGUUUUUUUGUUCAAAUUAACAUUCAAUAUUCAGAUAACUAAGAGUUGUCUUAUGUAUGCUUUUCUUGUAUUUGUCAAGAGUAUGUUGAGGACUACAUUUCUGAUUGUAAUAAUAGUUUGCAGGUUCUAAGUGUCGUAGAUAGAAGGAUUGCUAAAUGUCUAAAGUAAGUGCUUCUAGUGUCACACCAAGAAGGACGAGAUCUACAGUGUGGGAACACUUUAAAUAUAUUCCUGAUCAAGAAAAGGCUGAAUGUAUAUAUUGUGGGGCCUAUAUUAGUUGUGCUAGUGGUCAAGGGACCAGUUUGAUCCCAUCGAAGCAAAACGUUAGUUCUCAUUUCAGCUAUUGUUUGCUUACCUGUAGAGCUGGCAGGGAAAAAAGGCCAAGAAAAAGAAAGGCGCCACCGCACGUGGAUUAGAACCAAAUUUGCGGCCCCACGUGGAGGAAAGCCAGAUUGACAAGGCACAUUCGCCACCGACAUGAGCUAAUCCAAGUGUUCACUUCUUGAGCCAUCUAUUAUAUUUCUUGAUGGUGUUGAAAAGAUAUUUUCGUUCUCAAAUUGAAUUGUUUGCGAUGGACGAAGUUAUUAUGCUCUAUCCAUUUCAAUCAUCUCUAAAGUAUGAACUUAUCAAGUAUGACUAGGCUUAACAGGUAUUCACUACCAAUAUCUAUAAUAUUGGUCGCAUUGGGCAGGAUGGCA
Long non-coding RNA from Syzygium oleosum, 948 nucleotides. RefSeq lists it as uncharacterized. The record is from RefSeq and is a predicted model, not a curated record. NCBI's taxonomy places the organism in Eukaryota, Viridiplantae, Streptophyta, Magnoliopsida, Myrtales, Myrtaceae. The transcript has 2 exons.